This 3160-nucleotide long non-coding RNA is filed under the name Sus scrofa (pig). The record is from RNAcentral. Lineage: Eukaryota; Metazoa; Chordata; Mammalia; Artiodactyla; Suidae.
GCAGAACAGGAGAAACAGGUUCUGGGGAGAACCCUCUUCCUCAACAUUCCUUCAACAGUCAAGGAGAAUUUGCUGAGUGCAUACUACAUGCAGAGCACUGAGCAAGAGCUAGGAUUAAAGAGGGGAAUAAGUUGGACACCGUGCUUCCUACGUGGAGCAUGUGACCAUGGGAAGGGCAGGCAGAGAUAAAUGAAAAUGACCCAGAUGAAUGUAUAAUUGCUAGCUAUAACAAAGUGUAUGGAGAAGAGGUGCCUGGCACAGUGAGAGUGAAUAAUUAGCAGUUAGCUCGAGGCGGUCAAGGAAGGCUUGCUUCUCUGUGGAAGGCACAUUUCCCUGCGAUCUGAAGGGUACCAGAGGCCACAGGACGCUCCCCCCAGGUCUCUGACCCCAUGUAGCUCUCCGUAGAGCCUUGAAAGAGAGUCUGGGCACCCUGGGACUGGUUGAGUGCCCUUGGGGCUCCCUCAGGUCGGCUUCCUCUAGAGAGCAUCAAGAGCUCUCAUCUAAAGGCGCCCGGGAGACGUUGGGAGUCUUGGGGCUGAGGCGACACCCACCUGAGAUUACGCCAUCUGAGCGGUGCCCAUCUGAGGUCUGCCCGUCCUCCUAGAGCGCCACCUGGAGGACAAAGGUUUUCUUCCCCGGAGGAGAAAUCAAUGCAGGGCAAAGAAGAGGACAUUAGUGGGGGCACUUGGCUUCUCCCCAGGACAUUAACCUUCACUGGCCAUCCCUGAUAUUCCACUCCUUGCUGUGUGUCCCAGGAGCCCGGGUGACACCUCUCACAUGGCCUGCUUUAUAGUGCUUUGACUGCCUGUCUCCCGAACCAGCCACCUGGCUCUUUGAGGGACUGUGUUUUCUUCGGUUCUUGUUCUGCGCCUAGCACCUGGCACUGACAUGAUAAGCAUUCGGUAAGUCUUUAUUAAUGGAAUGAAUACAUGGACCUUCUUAAUUUUCACUCAGCUUUUAGUCACAAACAUUUGGAGGCUGCAUCACGUUGCUUAGAAGUAGAUGAGUAGGGACUAAGUGAAGAGUAUUGUUCACGCUGCCUUGCACAUAGUAGGUGUGCAAUUGUGACUUAUCGAAUGCGUGGUUAUCAGUGUCUCCAUGUCAAUGUUCUGGCGCAUAUACAGAGCACAAUUUGUUUCUUAAUGGCAUUGAUUCUGUAACAAAGCAGAACUCCGAAGUAGAAGUCACACAUUCUUAAAUUCGUUUUCAGUGAGGCGGAAUCUUCCAAUUACCAUUCUCUAUACAUAAGAGUAUAUACCUCUGCCUUUCAAUUUAAGACAGGACACAUUUUUUUUUUUUGUUAUAUUCCUGACCCUUGUAGGUCAGGACAACUGGUUCCCCUAAUGUGUGUGCGUGAGUGUGUACGUGUGUGUGUGUGUGUGUGUUUGUGUGUUCAGGAAACAAAGGCUGAAAGUCCUUCAGCAAAGGCAGCCGAGGUUCCUGGAUCUCCUUCUUGCAUAAUGAGUCCUGCCAGUUAGGGCUGCUCGAGGGUGGGAGGGGGUGGCAGCUUGCCAGUUUGGUCUGUGGCACUUGGAUAAACAGACAUCAAUAUUUAUCAGAGCUGUUCUGAUGUGCUUCUGCGGCUGCCAGAACAAGGAGCUCUCCUCGUGCUUGUGUAUAGUUUUCCCUGUAUGAGAUAAAAGUUUGGGGCCAUUAAGGAAAAAAAAAUGUUUGUACUCUGCUCCCCAGUUACCUAGGCUAAUUUACCGCACUAGGAGGCCCUGUAGUUCAUUAAUAAUAUACAAAUACAAACCAAGGGAAGAAAUUGCCAUGUUAAUUGACUUCUGUGAUGCUAAUCUAAGACUCCUUGGCUUUAAACAUUACUCAACAACUGCACUCAUACCACACACUUUGGAGAAAGCAGAAAGCUACCCAAAGCAAAUGCUUGAAAUCAUGGCCUCUGGGCUUUAUAAACAGACACUCAACUCCAUUGGCUCUCUUUGGGAGUCUGGAGGUGGAAAACACAAGGAAAAGAGGCAAAGAGAUGAGGAGAGACUCCACCAUCCUAGAAUACAGCCCAGACAGGUUGCAAGUGAAGGCCAGGAUACUCUGGGCAGUGUUGGGUUGUGCUGGGCUACUUAGGGUGUUGCCAGACUCUCCACCAGACCAGAUGGCUGCAAAGCUUGAUUAGAAACAGUAUUAUUAGGCUCAGCUGACUGGUCCAAUUAGGAGCAAAGUUCAUCAGUGUCUUAAGCAACCAAUCUCCCCCAUUAAUUUCCUAGGCUAAGCUUCUGUCUCUUAUCCUCUCUGAUCAUUGCUUAUGGAGAAGACACAGAGCUUUUGUUAGUUCAUGAAUGAGGUACUGGGAGGUAGGAGAGCUGAAUGAUGACGUUUCCCAGGCCAGCCUUGAUAGUCAAAUGGAUCUGGAUUUGAAUCCUAUCCAUUCUCCCACCAAUCGCCCAUCCCUACAAGUCUGGGAGCUAGAGAGUUUCAAGUUCAUGAAGGUGACCUGAGGGAUGAGCAACUUUCUCAUCCCCUUUGAGUCUACUGGGGCCACCUGGAUGACAAAUCUGGUCCCUCCUUCUAGAAGCCACUCACCCACAGCAUGAAGAGCCAUGUAGAUUUUACUGCAGAUUUCACAGGGUAGACAAAGGGGUGCCUUUAAAUCGCACAUCCCACAGCAUACAGCCUUAUCCCCCUGCUUGAUUUCUCUAUUCUCCCCAAGGUCCUCCUUGAUUGCUUAAACUCUGGAAUAUUUUCUCUCUGACCUGGGCCUUUGGAGUCUCAAAAUUCCUCUAGUUCUUGCCUCUUUUGAUUAAAAGAAUAAAAGAAAGAAAAUCAGAACUGGUGUGUGAAGCCUGAGAUUCAUUUUUCUAUUCUGUAAAAUGGGGAUAAUUCUUACCUCAUAAGGUAGGAGGGAGAGUUAAGUAACUGUGAAUGCUAAGACAAUGUUGUUCUAACAUGACCUAAUGAAAUUGAUUUAGUGGGUUGCCAUCAGCACUAAAAAACUGAAUAAGGUGACACUAUAAAACUCCUAGAAACACAGACAAAACAUUCUCUGACAUAAAUUGUAUCGAUGUCUUCUUAGGUCAGUUUCUCGAGUCAGUAGAAAUAAAAGCAAAAAUAAACAAAUGGGAAAUUUGUAAGCUUUUGCACAGCAAAGGAAGCCAUAAACAAAAUAAAAAGAUGAUCUAUGGAAUGGGAGAAAAUAUUUGCAAAU